This 1141-nucleotide long non-coding RNA is filed under the name Zea mays. Its description in RNAcentral is "long non-coding RNA (ZMAY_LNC005062)". Lineage: Eukaryota; Viridiplantae; Streptophyta; Magnoliopsida; Poales; Poaceae. The record is from RNAcentral.
UCGCUCUCUCUCACUUCUCUCUUCUCUCUCACCGCACUGCCGCCGCCUCUGCCUCUCACCUCCGCCGCCGCCCCAACACGCCUCACGCCGCCGCGUCCGUGCUCCGGCCUGUGCUCCGCCGCGCCCGUGCUCCGAAGGUGAUAAUAGAAUCAGUUUAGUGUGUCUAGUGUUGUUCAUUUUAGAUAAUGUGUGUUUAGGAUCGCAAAUGUGGCGGACGGAGAUGCAGAUCGUUACGAAGGACUUGGAUUAGGUUUGGCAAUGCGCUUCGGUUCUGGUUUGGCGGAAUCACUGUAAUCCGCAAUACCAGGCCUGGUAUUGAAGAACCUCAGUUUAAAUCCCAUUGACUUGACUAAAUCGUAUCCUAUUUUCCCUGCCCUCGGAACACAAUCAACGAUAGCGGGAAACAGUGAGUUGGAGAGUGUAAAGCAUCAAUUUGCCCUUUAUCAGUCAACGAUAUGGUUUUUAGCAUCAUUGGUGUAUAAUUCAAGUUACAAUACACGCUCACGUCAUUACUUUUGCUUCAGAAACCUGACAUCACAAAUGUGCUAUUUUUCUUAGGCGAUGCCAGGAACUGCAACCAUUGAUUUUCUAGGAAACUGUGCAGCAUGUUUCGUUAUGGAAUAAUAAGGAGUUCCAAAGCUUUGCUCAAAGCCUGUGGCCACCAUCUCCCUGCACUCAUUUACUUGUAGUGGACAAAAUACACCAAACAAUCUUCCCUGACGUUCCAAUCUUGCACAGUUAGUAUUUCUGUCGUCCGGGCACUUGUUUUGAGGAUCUGGCAAUUCAGUAAUUUGCUGCUUCUAGUUAUGAACCGAAGCAUUUCUUUCUUGCUGACAGUACGGGUGCUUCAAAAGUGUUGUAAAUUGCUUGGACCUGGAUCAUUGCCCGAAUAGGGUAAAAGCUGGGAAUAGAAGGUGUUGUGAUAAAUAUGCCUUUGUUUUCCAAGCUGUGAAAUGUAGUUUGACUUGAUCUUGUUUAACUUCACAACCACAUCACUCAUUGGGAUCCUUUCAUCAGGUGCAGCACUUGAACAAAGCAAGGCCAAAUCAAUUAUGGACGCUAGGCAGGUAUCCAAGAUGGUGAAGUUCCCAGGAGGUUUAUUUGCGUCUUGGAUACCAGUAUUAAGCUCCUCUUGUAUGCU